GGCUGUAGCUUAUAGGAUUAGAGCACGUGGCUACAAAUCACGGUGUCGGGGGUUGGAAUCCCUCCUUGCCC
This 71-nucleotide transfer RNA is filed under the name Olea europaea subsp. europaea. RNAcentral's name for it is "tRNA.Cys". The stretch from base 5 to 65 matches the Rfam family "tRNA", at positions 7 to 64 of the family's 71-position model. Rfam says of the family: Transfer RNA (tRNA) molecules are approximately 80 nucleotides in length. Lineage: Eukaryota; Viridiplantae; Streptophyta; Magnoliopsida; Lamiales; Oleaceae. The record is from RNAcentral.